UAUUUAUUGAGUCUCUUAUUAUAUGCCAG
Molecule: non-coding RNA, 29 nt
Filed under: Rattus norvegicus (Norway rat)
Lineage: Eukaryota; Metazoa; Chordata; Mammalia; Rodentia; Muridae
Source: RNAcentral